This 702-nucleotide ribosomal RNA is filed under the name uncultured bacterium. RNAcentral's name for it is "bacterial SSU rRNA". It matches the Rfam family "Bacterial small subunit ribosomal RNA", at positions 70 to 768 of the family's 1533-position model. The record is from RNAcentral.
GAGAGGCUCUUCGGAGUAGUAAAGUGGCGUACGGGUGAGUAAUACAUGGGUAAUCUGCCUUUGAGCGGGGGAUAACCAGCCGAAAGGCUGGCUAAUACCCCAUACGCUUCCUGUCCCUCGGGUAAGGAAGGAAAGCUGCAUCGUGGAUGUGGCACUCGAAGAUGGGCUCAUGGCCUAUCAGCUUGUUGGUGGGGUAACGGCCCACCAAGGCAACGACGGGUAGCUGGUCUGAGAGGACGAUCAGCCACACUGGCACUGAGAUACGGGCCAGACUCCUACGGGAGGCAGCAGUGAGGAAUAUUGCGCAAUGGGCGAAAGCCUGACGCAGCGACGCCGCGUGGGGGAAGAAGGUUUUCGGAUUGUAAACCCCUUUUAGGAGGAAAGAUGGGGUGGUUCGCCACCCGGACGGUACCUCCAGAAAAAGCCACGGCUAACUUCGUGCCAGCAGCCGCGGUAAUACGAAGGUGGCGAGCGUUGUUCGGAUUUACUGGGCGUAAAGAGCACGUAGGCGGUUUAGUAAGCCCCUUGGGAAAGCUAUGGGCUUAACCCGUAAAGUUCGAGGGGGACUGCUAAGCUAGAGGGCGGGAGAGGAGCGCGGAAUUUCCGGUGUAGCGGUGAAAUGCGUAGAUAUCGGGAAGAAGGCCGGUGGCGAAGGCGGCGCUCUGGAACGUCUCUGACGCUGAGGUGCGAAAGCGUGGGGAG